This 962-nucleotide ribosomal RNA is filed under the name uncultured bacterium. RNAcentral's name for it is "bacterial SSU rRNA". It matches the Rfam family "Bacterial small subunit ribosomal RNA", at positions 52 to 1001 of the family's 1533-position model. The record is from RNAcentral.
AGCAUGCAAGUCGAACGGUAGGGUAGUGCUUGCACUACUUGAGAGUGGCGAACGGGUGAGUAACACGUAGGUGAUCUACCUUUAUGUAGGGGAUAGCCUGUGGAAACACAGGGUAAUACCCGAUGUGACUGAUAUCUUGCGGGGUAUUAGUGAAAGGUGUUGAGACACCGCAUAAGGGUGAGCCUGCGUCUGAUUAGUUAGUUGGUGGGGUAAAGGCCUACCAAGGCGACGAUCAGUAGCCGGCCUGAGAGGGUGACCGGCCACACUGGGACUGAGACACGGCCCAGACUCCUACGGGAGGCAGCAGCUAAGAAUCUUCCGCAAUGGGGGAAACCCUGACGGAGCGACGCCGCGUGAACGAAGAAGGCCGUGAGGUUGUAAAGUUCUUUUCUCGGAGAAGAAUAAGGUAGCGAGGGAAUGCGCUACUGAUGACAUUACCCGAGGAAUAAGCCCCGGCUAAUUACGUGCCAGCAGCCGCGGUAACACGUAAGGGGCGAGCGUUGUUCGGAUUUAUUGGGCGUAAAGGGCGUGUAGGCGGUUUUGUAAGCCUGGUGUGAAAGGCUCCGGCUUAACUGGAGUUUGCGCUGGGAACUGCAAGACUAGAGUUCAGGAGGGGAAGCUGGAAUUCCUGGUGUAGGGGUGAAAUCUGUAGAUAUCAGGAAGAACACCGGUGGCGAAGGCGAGCUUCUGGCCAUGAACUGACGCUGAGGCGCGAAAGCGUGGGGAGCGAACAGGAUUAGAUACCCUGGUAGUCCACGCUGUAAACGAUGUGCACUAGGUGUAGGGCUGUAUGAAGCUCUGUGCCGAAGCGAACGCGAUAAGUGCACCGCCUGGGGAGUAUGCUCGCAAGGGUGAAACUCAAAGGAAUUGACGGGGGCCCGCACAAGCGGGGGAGCAUGUGGUUUAAUUCAAUGAUACCCGAAGGAACCUUACCCGGGGUUUGACAUAUUAGCGGACUGUGG